Molecule: ribosomal RNA, 233 nt
Filed under: uncultured bacterium
Lineage: Bacteria
Description: partial 16S ribosomal RNA
Rfam family: Bacterial small subunit ribosomal RNA
Source: RNAcentral
GAUCAUGGCUCAGGAUGAAUGCUAGCUACAGGCUUAACACAUGCAAGUCGAGGGGAAACGACAUCGAAAGCUUGCUUUUGAUGGGCGUCGACCGGCGCACGGGUGAGUAACGCGUAUCCAACCUGCCCACCACUUGGGGAUAACCUUGCGAAAGUAAGACUAAUACCCAAUGACAUCCCACGAAGACAUCUGAAUGGGAUUAAAGAUUUAAUCGGUGAUGGAUGGGGAUGCGU